UGACGGUACCUGACUAAGAAGCUCCGGCUAAAUACGUGCCAGCAGCCGCGGUAAUACGGAGGAUGCGAGCGUUAUCCGGAUUUAUUGGGUUUAAAGGGUGCGUAGGCGGACUGGUAAGUCAGCGGUGAAAGAUCCACGCUUAACGUGGGAGCUGCCGUUGAUACUGUUGGUCUGGAAUAGGAUUGACGUGGGAGGAAUGUAUGGUGUAGCGGUGAAAUGCUUAGAUAUCAUACAGAACACCGAUUGCGAAGGCAUCUCACGAAAUCCCGAUUGACGCUGAGGCACGAAAGCGUGGGGAUCAAACAGGAUUAGAUACCCUG
This 320-nucleotide ribosomal RNA is filed under the name uncultured bacterium. RNAcentral's name for it is "bacterial SSU rRNA". It matches the Rfam family "Bacterial small subunit ribosomal RNA", at positions 470 to 789 of the family's 1533-position model. The record is from RNAcentral.